CCUACGGGUGGCAGCAGUGAGGAAUAUUGGUCAAUGGGCGCAAGCCUGAACCAGCCAAGUAGCGUGCAGGAUGACGGCCCUAUGGGUUGUAAACUUCUUUUAUACGGGAAUAAAGUGCAGUAUGUGUACUGCUUUGCAUGUACCUUAUGAAUAAGGAUCGGCUAACUCCGUGCCAGCAGCCGCGGUAAUACGGAGGAUCCGAGCGUUAUCCGGAUUUAUUGGGUUUAAAGGGAGCGUAGGCGGGUUGUUAAGCGAGUUGUGAAAGUUUGGGGCUCAACCCGAAAAUUGCAGUUGAUACUGGCAUGCUUGAGUACAGUAGAGGCAGGCGGAAUUCGUGGUGUAGCGGUGAAAUGCUUAGAUAUGACGAAGAACCCCGAUUGCGAAGGCAGCCUGCUGCACUGUAACUGACGCUGAUGCUCGAAAGUGCGGGUAUCAAACAGGAUUAGAUACCCGUGUAGUC
This 460-nucleotide ribosomal RNA is filed under the name uncultured bacterium. Its description in RNAcentral is "partial 16S ribosomal RNA". It matches the Rfam family "Bacterial small subunit ribosomal RNA", at positions 338 to 795 of the family's 1533-position model. The record is from RNAcentral.